Molecule: ribosomal RNA, 31 nt
Filed under: Rhodotorula mucilaginosa
Lineage: Eukaryota; Fungi; Basidiomycota; Microbotryomycetes; Sporidiobolales; Sporidiobolaceae
Also listed under: 4 other names
Description: partial 18S ribosomal RNA
Source: RNAcentral
UCCCGUAGGUGAACCUGCGGAAGGAUCAUUA